Molecule: ribosomal RNA, 491 nt
Filed under: uncultured bacterium
Lineage: Bacteria
Description: partial 16S ribosomal RNA
Rfam family: Bacterial small subunit ribosomal RNA
Source: RNAcentral
GAUGAACGCUAGCUACAGGCUUAACACAUGCAAGUCGCGGGGCAGCAUGGGGGUUGCUUGCAACCCCUGAUGGCGACCGGCGCACGGGUGAGUAACGCGUAUCCAACCUGCCCUUCACCACGGGAUAACCCGGCGAAAGUCGGACUAAUACCGUAUGUUGUCCAUUGACGGCAUCCGAUUUGGACGAAAGGCCGGGCGGGGGAAGGAUGGGGAUGCGUCCGAUUAGCUUGACGGCGGGGUAACGGCCCACCGUGGCUACGAUCGGUAGGGGUUCUGAGAGGAAGGUCCCCCACACUGGAACUGAGACACGGUCCAGACUCCUACGGGAGGCAGCAGUGAGGAAUAUUGGUCAAUGGGCGUAAGCCUGAACCAGCCAAGUAGCGUGCAGGAUGACGGCCCUAUGGGUUGUAAACUGCUUUUAUGCGGGGAUAAAGUGGCCCACGUGUGGGCUUUUGCAGGUACCGCAUGAAUAAGGACCGGCUAAUUCCGUG